RNAcentral lists this ribosomal RNA (253 nucleotides) under uncultured bacterium. Its description in RNAcentral is "partial 16S ribosomal RNA". It matches the Rfam family "Bacterial small subunit ribosomal RNA", at positions 524 to 776 of the family's 1533-position model. The record is from RNAcentral.
UACAGAGGUCUCGAGCGUUAGGCGGAAUCACUGGGCUUAAAGCGUGUGUAGGCGGGUCGUUAAGUGCCUUGUGAAAUCCCAUGGCUCAACCAUGGAACUGCUGGGCAUACUGGCGAUCUUGUGCAACCUAGGGGCGAGCGGAACAGAUGGUGGAGCGGUGAAAUGCGUAGAUAUCAUCUGGAACGCCAAUGGGGAAAACAGCUCGCUGGGGGUUUGCAGACGCUGAGACACGAAAGCCAGGGGAGCGAACGGG